RNAcentral lists this small RNA (718 nucleotides) under Pan troglodytes (chimpanzee). RNAcentral describes it as "processed transcript". The record is from RNAcentral. Lineage: Eukaryota; Metazoa; Chordata; Mammalia; Primates; Hominidae.
CUGUGCGGGGACGGGGGAGUGGUAGUGGGGGCUGCAGCUGCCGGACCCAGGCACCGACCCUUGACCUCCGGUGGCUCCCCCAUCUCUCAGGCGCGAUGGCUACGGGCGCGGAUGUACGGGACAUUCUAGAACUCGGGGGUCCAGAAGGGGAUGCAGCCUCUGGGACCAUCAGCAAGAAGGACAUUAUCAACCCGGACAAGAAAAAGUCCAAGAAGUCCUCUGAGACACUGACUUUCAAGAGGCCCGAGGGCAUGCACCGGGAAGUCUAUGCCUUGCUCUACUCUGACAAGAAGGAUGCACCCCCACUGCUACCCAGUGACACUGGCCAGGGGUACCGUACAGUGAAGGCCAAGUUGGGCUCCAAGAAGGUGCGGCCUUGGAAGUGGAUGCCAUUCACCAACCCGGCCCGCAAGGACGGAGCAAUGUUCUUCCACUGGCGACGUGCAGCGGAGGAGGGCAAGGACUACCCCUUUGCCAGGUUCAAUAAGGUACCUUACAUCAGGUAGGUACCCUGAACAGAGCUCAUCAUCUUCCCUCUGUCGGUCCCAAAUCUGUUCCCCAUCUCAGUGAAUGGCACCAUCUUUCACCCAGUUGCCCAAACCAGAAACUUGGGGGAUCGUCCUGACUUAGUCUUCUCCCUUAGUCCUCACAGUAUUUAAAUCAACAACAGAACAAAGAAGGUAGGGGAAAACAAACAACAAACAUGUAAGGAAAUAAA